UGAGUCGGCCGGGUGGCCGCGGUCCGAGCGAGGCUCGCCUCGUGAUCGGGUCGAGGAAGGUCGGGACUCCACAGGGCACGGUGCUGGCUAACGGCCAGUCGGGGCGACCUGCAGGAAAGUGCCACAGAGAACAGACCGCCGAUGGCGGCCUUCGGGUCGCACAGGCAAGGGUGAAACGGUGCGGCAAGAGCGCACCAGCGGUCGGGGUGACCCGGCCGGCUCGGUAAACCCCACCUGGAGCAAGGUCGAACAGGGGGACGGACGGCCCGUCCGGUGCUCUCCGGAGCACCACCCCCGGGUAGACCGCGUAGAUGGAUGGUCACCGAACCCUCAACUGAGGGGGAACAGAAUCCCGCCUACAGGCCGACUCACCGU
RNAcentral lists this RNase P RNA (375 nucleotides) under Acidimicrobiales bacterium. Its description in RNAcentral is "RNase P RNA component class A". It matches the Rfam family "Bacterial RNase P class A". Rfam says of the family: Ribonuclease P (RNase P) is a ubiquitous endoribonuclease, found in archaea, bacteria and eukarya as well as chloroplasts and mitochondria. Its best characterised activity is the generation of mature 5'-ends of tRNAs by cleaving the 5'-leader elements of precursor-tRNAs. The record is from RNAcentral. Lineage: Bacteria; Bacillati; Actinomycetota; Acidimicrobiia; Acidimicrobiales.